Molecule: unclassified non-coding RNA, 246 nt
Filed under: uncultured Borrelia sp.
Lineage: Bacteria; Pseudomonadati; Spirochaetota; Spirochaetia; Spirochaetales; Borreliaceae
Description: partial contains 5S-23S ribosomal RNA intergenic spacer and 23S ribosomal RNA
Rfam family: Bacterial large subunit ribosomal RNA (bases 164-246)
Source: RNAcentral
UACUUUAAACCUUGAAUUUAUUUUUUAAAUGUUUAUAUUAUUUGAAUAAAACAUUCAAAUAAUAUAAAAAAUAAUAUAUAUAUUGACAUGGAUUAAACAAAGAUAUAUAUUAUUCUAUGUUGUAUAAACAAAUUGGCAAAAUAGAGAUGGAAGAUAAAAAUAUGGUCAAAGUAAUAAGAGUCUAUGGUGGAUGCCUAGGAGCUUUAAGGCGAAGAAGGUCGUGGUAAGCUGCGAAAAGCUUGGGGG